RNA transcript from Haliotis rubra (blacklip abalone), 1260 nucleotides. RefSeq lists it as uncharacterized. The record is from RefSeq and is a predicted model, not a curated record. The transcript has 4 exons. NCBI's taxonomy places the organism in Eukaryota, Metazoa, Mollusca, Gastropoda, Lepetellida, Haliotidae.
UUCAUGAUUGUCACCAGUGGAUCUUGCAAGUACGUACAGUGAAACAGUUACUCUGCAUGUGGAACAAUGAUCCGUGUACCAUAAAUAACAUCGAAUCACACAUGUGUAACUAUCUGGGGGACCGGGCAACAACACGUCAACAUUGAUUCCAGAAAUACACCUCUGUCUAUGCUAUAAUGCCAAUGUCGUAAUCAACUCACAAUAACAUACGUUCUGGUACUGCCAUGUUCCCUGGCACUCUCAGGGACAGAAACGACGGUCUGUAGAGACUGGGGAUAUACGUGCGAUGGCUGACUCUAGGUCCUCGUGUCCAGAUAGGAAAACAGGACAUUAUACCAGGACUGUUCAUGAGGUGUCACAAAGGUGAUCAUUCAGAGAAAAAGAUACAGCCAGUUCACCUCAGAAGUCCCAACAAUUCCGUCGACAUGGAAACGGCAGACAUAAACGCGAUGAUUAUGAUUGUGGCGACUUCAACUACUACGACCCCGCCAUACACGGAUGUACGCCGUGUGACCACCUGUGUGACUACCACGAACACCAAGGAACUACAAAGCGUUGCAUGGAGAAAUGUCCAGAUUACUAUGUAAAGGAUGGGACCUACGGCCAGUUCACAAGAAGAGAGGUCUACAAAGGAUACGAGUCCUGAUGAUUCCAAAGGAGACGCUACCUUGACUGUAGUAUUGAUUAUAUUUGCGAUAGUGUUUGUCCUGUGUACUGGCGUUAUGGUUUGGAAACGGAAUCAGAUUUGGCAGUUCCUGGAGAGACAGUGUACAACCGAUGAGGAGAAAACCUCGGUGCCAUGCUGCCAGGAACAGGGAAUCUGCGAGUCUGCCAAUUCCAAAGUGACCCCUUUGACCCACUCCCUAGGACCAAUAUGCCAGCCAGUUACAGAAACUCGCCACGAGAACAAAGCAGACCAGUACCUAUACACAGAGACGUUUGCUGAGAUUGACCUACGGUAUGCUGUAUUGGAUGAACCGUUCUCACAGACCACAACACCAUCCCUAAACAAACCUGUUCCACGGAUCACCCCAGUCAGACUGCCUCCAUCUAUCACCCAACCAUCCCUAAACAAACCUGUUGCACGGAUCACCUCAGUCAGACCCUCUCCAACUAUCAACCACCCCAACGCAAACCGUAUCUGCUGAUGGCACCAACCUGACAACCUACCCCAGUCACUCCACAAUCCCCAAAGUUGUUGAUACUGAUAGUGAUGAUACACACUCGUGAGGAGGAAAGUGACGAAGGCACCUGUUAACA